This is a long non-coding RNA of Helianthus annuus (common sunflower), 2268 nucleotides long. RefSeq lists it as uncharacterized. The record is from RefSeq and is a predicted model, not a curated record. The transcript is spliced from 3 exons. Lineage: Eukaryota; Viridiplantae; Streptophyta; Magnoliopsida; Asterales; Asteraceae.
UUCCUUGCCCUAUUUUCUACAUCAGAUACACGCUUGUGAUAAAAUUAUAUUGAGAGAUUGGUGACAUCUUGCAUUAGUCACAAAUUGUCGUUCUGCACCAGCGAUCUACGAACCCUCUACCCGUUGAUACUUGGAAGAUCCGUCUUCAACUUACAAAACUGGUUACCCGGCCUCCAUUAGUGUUUGGGGUGUAGUCUGUGGAGUUGCUGCUUCUGGUACAGUUGAAAAUUUGAAAUGCUUUGAUUUGCACUAUUUUUAUAUAAAAAAACCUUGAAGACAACUAACAAGCCACAUUAUAAUAAACACUUUAUUAUAAAUGUUUGUAUUCUAUGUGUUUAUCCCAUUUACUUUUAAUACUUUUGGUUCCGUUGCCCUAGAGGCCGUGGAAUUCCUGGACAUUAUUUCCAUGGGGUCCAACCGGUUAUGUUUAGGAUUUAGAAAACGAAUUUGCGGGUCAGGAUGGGUUAACUGAAACUGGACGCUAGGUCAGGACGGGCAAUUAACUAAAAAACAUAACCGGUUUUCCACAAGUCCCAAAAAAAAAGCGAAUUUCUUUUGUUCUUGUUCGUCGAUUAUUACAUCUUGAUGGUUGUACUUAAGAUGUUUUACAGAAGUUUAAUCUGAUUGAGAUGUUUUGGUGUCUUACAAAUGCUAAAUGUAUUCAUCUUUCGUCGUCAACUGUUAAGGUACUGCUUUAACUCCACUUUCUUCAACGGUGUUUCAAAAUGUAUACUAUUAACUAUAUCAUAUCAGAGUUUAUUAAUCUUGUUUGUGUUCCUUAAUUUCUAUUACAGUUGGCCCUUUUUCCACCAUGGACAUUGUCCUACAAUAUGAAGGAAGAAUAGUGUUACUUAAACAUAAAAGGAUUCAUUGUGUCGUAAGCAUAGUAGAAAUCUAACCAGGUCAAAUGCAUACUCAGAUUGUGAGUCGCUGCUUUGGGCAUCCUCGUCAACUACUUUAAUUACUGACUGUAUUGUGUUUCUUGGCUACACUCUUACAGCUGUAUCCAAGUAAUUGAGUAUAUUGUGUAAAUAUAUGCUUCAUCAUAAUUCAUAACAAGCUAUAUUAGUUUACCAUGGUAUGCCGUAUGUCUGUCUGUCUAUGUUCAAUUAUGUUCAUUCAGUACUGCAGAACGACUCGACCUUGAAGGUGCUUCUGUUGUCAUCUCUUCUCACAGGCAGGUUUUUCUUUUACCCUCAUUUUUCAUCCUUCUAGAUUUAACUGUAUUAGCUAGGUUUUUAGUUUGAAUUAUCUAAUAGCUUCCUGUUGUUAGGCUCUAAUUUUGAAGUUUGAUGUGUUCAUUUGCUUGAGUUUAUGCUGAAAAAAGAUCAUCUAUAAUACCGAAUUACAUUAAGUUGUUUUCUCACCGACUGAAAGAACUUCUAAACAUUUCACUAUUAGUAAAAAUGCAAUCUUUUUGUUGGGUUUAAUAAUUAUAAUUUGGCAUGGUACAUGGUUACUGCAAUCAAGGUUUCUCUAAUCUUGUGACCCAAAUCAGUGGCACCGGUUUACUCAACCUUAAAAAUAAGCAACAUUGACAUUCUAACUUUUAAGAAAAGAAUUUUAAGUUACAUGGAACACUUUAGAAAGGUAAUUAUUUUAGUUUUCUUGGGAUGAAGGGGGUACUCUUAAUUCCACAUACGAUGUACUCAUAGAGCACAAAAGGUAUUGGUGCAAAUGAAUAUCUAUAUUGAUUAGUGUUAUUUUCAUACAUCAUACAUGCUAUGCUUUCAUGAAAAAUAGAUUUGAUUAGUGACACAAUGCAUUUAAAUACAAAACCUCCCUUAAACUCAUUUUACAGUAGCUUCAUAGCUUCAUCUCAGUAAUUAAUAACUUAGUUCUGAAAUGAUUUUGUAGGUCCAUAUUAUCAAGCAAAUUAGUUUAUAACUAUAAAGGACCAACUCAAAUUUUUUUUGGCCCUAAGUGAAUUGCUAAAUAUUACAUUUGGAUCGACAUAACCCUAAGUCCCCAUUUUAGGGCAAUAUGAAAUGAUGUUCUUAUUUUUUGUUGUACUCUUGGUAUGAAAGUGAUCAGCUAAAACUUUCUAUUUUAUAGUAGAAGAAAGACGUUUGGACAAUUUGGUUUUGCAAAUUCUGUUGGCAUUGAAGUUAAAGGGUGGAUAUCAUGAAAACAACUUUGGAGCUAACUUUUAUGAAAGCGAAAUUCUCAACCAAAAGAACGUUUAGACUCCUUAUGUAAACAUUUGUAAUAUGUUAUUUGCUAACAUUUGGAAUAUGUUAUUUUCUAACAUUUGGAAUAUGUUUUAGA